This is a long non-coding RNA of Ailuropoda melanoleuca (giant panda), 1049 nucleotides long. RefSeq lists it as uncharacterized. The record is from RefSeq and is a predicted model, not a curated record. The transcript has 2 exons. Lineage: Eukaryota; Metazoa; Chordata; Mammalia; Carnivora; Ursidae.
UUCAUCAAGAUAAAAAGCUUCUGAACGGUCACCCUUCUUAAGGGAGAUGUUUAAUUAAUUGAAUGUAGGAGGCUGUACUGAUAAUCUUGCCUCCAGUGAAGCCAGCUGGAGUUAUGGCUUUUCUCUUCUUUUCACGAAAUUAACCAGAAAGAGAAGAGAUGGUCACACCACCAAUUUCAUAAACCAUCAUUCAGGUCAACAUACCAGCAGCUUUUGAAACGGAUGACUGUUCUUUCUUAAAAUAUUUUCUUCACUUGAUUUCCAGCAUUACACUCUCCUGGUUUCUUCUAGCCUUAAUUUCUCAAUAUCCUUUAAUGAUUCCUCUCCCACCAUCUAAUUAUUGGAAAGCCCCAAGUUUCUAUGUUUGGCCCUAUGAUUUUCUCUAUUGGUAUCCAUUAGAUAGGUGACCUUAUCUAGCGAACCCUAAAGUGCACAAUCAAUUUCACCACAGAUAUAGAGUCAAAGAAAGAUCAAAAUGCCACCUCUAUUACUGGUUUUUGAAAUAUUUCUAUUGCAGAAUAUAAUUCCAGGCAAAGCUCAAUUUUGUUACAACCAUUGCAUGUGGUGGUCCUUGUCCUUCUGCCUGGAACUCUGUAGAACUAUUUUUCCCCUUGAGUCACAGUGUAACUCGACUUGCUAAUAUUUUGCUGACUAUCUCAGUCAAUCAUAGGAACAUUUGUAUAACCACAAGCUUCUCCCAGUGCAAACUGCAUCUUGAAAAAUUCACAGCCUGGAAGAUUAGAAAAUUUAUACUCUCUGAAGGCAGACAUCCCAAAAAGAUACAAGAAAACUAAUGAAACUUGGUUCUUUCUCCCAAACUCACCAAUCAAGUUAUGUCAAUCCUCCUCCUAGGGAAGAAGGACUCCGAAAACAGUAAGAAGUCAGGACUGUUAACACCAAUGGAGGUUCCUCAUAGGACCACAGAAACUGGAUCUGCAUGCACUCUCUAAAAAGAAGUAGAAGAAGAAGAAAAGAAAAAGAAAGAAAUAUUAUGAAGAACUUUAUGCCAAUAACUUAACAACUUUAAUAAAAUGCACAUAUGUACUGAA